GUGGGGAAUCUUAGACAAUGGGCGCAAGCCUGAUCUAGCCAUGCCGCGUGAGCGAUGAAGGCCUUAGGGUUGUAAAGCUCUUUCAGCUGGGAAGAUAAUGACGGUACCUGAAGAAGAAGCCCCGGCUAACUUCGUGCCAGCAGCCGCGGUAAUACGAAGGGGGCUAGCGUUGCUCGGAAUCACUGGGCGUAAAGCGCACGUAGGCGGCUUUCUAAGUCAGGGGUGAAAUCCUGGAGCUCAACUCCAGAACUGCCUUUGAUACUGGAGAGCUUGAGUUCGGGAGAGGUGAGUGGAACUGCGAGUGUAGAGGUGAAAUUCGUAGAUAUUCGCAAGAACACCAGUGGCGAAGGCGGCUCACUGGCCCGAUACUGACGCUGAGGUGCGAAAGCGUGGGGAGCAAACAGGAUUAGAAACCCGUGUAGUCC
RNAcentral lists this ribosomal RNA (425 nucleotides) under uncultured bacterium. RNAcentral describes it as "partial 16S ribosomal RNA". It matches the Rfam family "Bacterial small subunit ribosomal RNA", at positions 354 to 796 of the family's 1533-position model. The record is from RNAcentral.